GGAUUAGAUACCCUGGUAGUCCACGCCGUAAACGAUGUCUACUAGCCGUUGGGGAACUUGAUUCCUUAGUGGCGCAGCUAACGCACUAAGUAGACCGCCUGGGGAGUACGGCCGCAAGGUUAAAACUCAAAUGAAUUGACGGGGGCCCGCACAAGCGGUGGAGCAUGUGGUUUAAUUCGAUGCAACGCGAAGAACCUUACCAGGUCUUGACAUCCUGAGAAUCCUGUAGAGAUACGGGAGUGCCUUCGGGAAUUCAGUGACAGGUGCUGCAUGGCUGUCGUCAGCUCGUGUCG
Molecule: ribosomal RNA, 293 nt
Filed under: uncultured bacterium
Lineage: Bacteria
Description: partial 16S ribosomal RNA
Rfam family: Bacterial small subunit ribosomal RNA
Source: RNAcentral